GAGACCACAACAAGUAGUUCCCUACACCUUUUAAGGCAACCGGAACCAUAACAAGCUUACUGUAGUUUCCUUCCAUCUUCUCUUUGCCUCUAGUUACUUCUAGUCUUCAAUCUUGUACUUCAGUUGAGCUUCUACCACACCAGAUCUUCAAGAACACACGGGACCAAAGAACCAAGGGUAAGACACUUCAACAAACUGACAAGACUUCCCGGAAGUAUCAAGAACAAACGCAAGAACACAAAGAAGGAAUGAGUAAGAAUCACACAAAGGAACUAAG
RNAcentral lists this long non-coding RNA (277 nucleotides) under Brassica rapa (field mustard). Its description in RNAcentral is "long non-coding RNA (BRAP_LNC007178)". Lineage: Eukaryota; Viridiplantae; Streptophyta; Magnoliopsida; Brassicales; Brassicaceae. The record is from RNAcentral.